UCAUUAUAAUUUUCAAGGCUUAAAAAAAUUAACUGCUAAUCAGCUGGUGGACUUUUUUCAUGAGAAUAAAACGGAGAUCUCACUGAUCGAUAAUCCUCGCAUACUGCUAAACCGGUUAAGAGUCAAAGACUUAAUCCCAGCAGACAAAUUUCAGGAUAUAAUUGAUAUAAGAGAUGCAACAGAGAAAAGUAGAGCUUUUUAUGAGUACUUAGAGUGGUUUGAAAAUAAAAAAAUAAAGAAGAUCCGUCCCUUCUUGGAAGCGAUAUUCAAAGAUUUCAUCAUUCGGCGUUACCCAACAUUAAGACAACUUAAGGACAAACUUUUGAAAGAUAACAGCGCAGUUGCAGAAACUGGAUUAA
This is a long non-coding RNA of Polypterus senegalus (gray bichir), 359 nucleotides long. RefSeq lists it as uncharacterized. Lineage: Eukaryota; Metazoa; Chordata; Cladistia; Polypteriformes; Polypteridae. The transcript is spliced from 3 exons. The record is from RefSeq and is a predicted model, not a curated record.